AUAUUAAAGGUUUAUCCUUUAAAACACGUAUAUAUUCGUUACCAUUUUUGGUAAUUAACCAUGUAAUCUUAUAACUAUAAGUGGCGUCUGUAUUUUAUACAGGCGUCUUUUU
This 112-nucleotide small nuclear RNA is filed under the name Staphylococcus aureus. RNAcentral's name for it is "SAUSA300s294". Lineage: Bacteria; Bacillati; Bacillota; Bacilli; Caryophanales; Staphylococcaceae. The record is from RNAcentral.